CCUACGGGGGGCAGCAGUAAGGAAUAUUGGUCAAUGGACGCAAGUCUGAACCAGCCAUGCCGCGUGAAGGAUGAAGGUCCUCUGGAUUGUAAACUUCUUUUAUAUGGGACGAAACCCCGGCAUUCCUGCCGGACUGACGGUACCAUAGGAAUAAGCACCGGCUAACUCCGUGCCAGCAGCCGCGGUAAUACGGAGGGUGCAAGCGUUAUCCGGAUUCACUGGGUUUAAAGGGUGCGUAGGAGGGCAGGUAAGUCAGUGGUGAAAUCUCCGGGCUUAACUCGGAAACUGCCGUUGAUACUAUCUGCCUUGAAUACCGUGGAGGUGAGCGGAAUAUGUCAUGUAGCGGUGAAAUGCUUAGAUAUGACAUAGAACACCGAUUGCGAAGGCAGCUCACUACACGAAUAUUGACUCUGAGGCACGAAAGCGUGGGGAUCAAACAG
RNAcentral lists this ribosomal RNA (440 nucleotides) under uncultured bacterium. RNAcentral's name for it is "bacterial SSU rRNA". It matches the Rfam family "Bacterial small subunit ribosomal RNA", at positions 338 to 775 of the family's 1533-position model. The record is from RNAcentral.